This is a non-coding RNA of Elasticomyces elasticus, 83 nucleotides long. The record is from the annotation of a GenBank genome assembly. NCBI's taxonomy places the organism in Eukaryota, Fungi, Ascomycota, Dothideomycetes, Mycosphaerellales, Teratosphaeriaceae.
UAUUGCCUAGUCUAAUGGUUAGGAUUGCUGCCUUCCAUCUCUAUUGUGAGCAGCAGGUUCGGGUUCAAUUCCCGGAGGAGUAA